AAAAAAAAAAAAAAAAAAAAGAAUCCAUCCACUCGAAUUUCCAAUCCACGAAUCCGAAAAUUUCAACGACCCUUAUGCAUUAUUUAUUUUUCUGCCAGAUAGGAUUCAGGGAAAUUCUCUCGCUCCAAUAAAUUCGUUACUAUACGGAACAUUGAUGAAAAAAAAAAAAAGCAACGCUUCUGAUGCAUUUGCAAACACGAUUCCGUUUUGUUGCUAAUUUUUUUUUUUCGUACACAUUAAUGAAUGCACACACAAUUUUACCGUAAAGUUUUUAUUUUAACGGAAGAAUUCUCAUUUUUCGUUCGAAAUCGAAAACGAAUAUCCUUUUAACGAAAGUACCAAAUAAGAUAAUGUUGAAAGUAUUUCCACAUAAAAAUGAUAAAAUGUAUAAUUUGUAUGUACAUAUAAUUCUUUAAAAUAAAAUUGCAGUUUGGAAU
This 437-nucleotide long non-coding RNA is filed under the name Apis cerana (Asiatic honeybee). RNAcentral describes it as "4466.1". Lineage: Eukaryota; Metazoa; Arthropoda; Insecta; Hymenoptera; Apidae. The record is from RNAcentral.